This 698-nucleotide long non-coding RNA is filed under the name Capsicum annuum. Its description in RNAcentral is "long non-coding RNA (CANN_LNC004787)". The record is from RNAcentral. Lineage: Eukaryota; Viridiplantae; Streptophyta; Magnoliopsida; Solanales; Solanaceae.
GAACCAACACUACCGCCGCCGACCAUCUCCCUCCCUUCUCAAAAGCUCUACCAACGUCCCCGCUGCGCUGCAGCUACGUGACUAAUGGGCAUGCAAUCACUGCUUCCCAGUCGCACCAGCAAACCCAUGCUGCCACCGCCUCUCAUCCAACUGGAAAACAGCUGCUCUACCCAUUUCUGACAAAAAUUAGUCCGAUCCUUUGGAGAACAUGUAAUUUUCAUGACGGAUUCUUAAGAAUCCAUCCAAGGUUUGGUUUUCUAUUUUAAUUUUUUAAGGUACCAUCGUCUUCUAUUCCUUUUUCUUUUCUACAUUUUCUUUAGAUUUGGACGUGUCAAAACUUGAUUAUGAAUUUUUAGCUGAUCCUUGCAAUUUCAUGUGUCUAUGUGCUUAGAUUCACCUAUACAAAAAUGCCUAGUUCCUGUGAGCUCUCAUUAACAUUUUUUUAAAGUUUGUGAUUGCUUUUUAGGGAUUUUGUUAUUCCAUUUGCUAGGCUGAUUUUAUAAAUUCGUUGGUUCUGAAUACCAUGACAUGUCUAUUCUUGUUACGUUAUAAAUUAUUUUCCUUUAAUUGGUGAAAGAAUGGUGCUUCCUUUUUCUGUAAUUAUGGUAUGCUUAGAUGUGGUUUGACAGCCUGCUUAAUUGAGUAUUUUAAAUUGCUUAGAUGUGGUAUGCUUAAUGGUUUGACAGGUUUGAUAGCCU